Molecule: RNA transcript, 583 nt
Organism: Melanaphis sacchari
Lineage: Eukaryota; Metazoa; Arthropoda; Insecta; Hemiptera; Aphididae
Gene: NdufV3
Gene name: NADH dehydrogenase [ubiquinone] flavoprotein 3, mitochondrial
Exons: 4
Source: RefSeq, a predicted model, not a curated record
AACUGUUACGAAUAUAGGAAUGUGUAAUCUAAGGUUGUAACUUAAAAGGAAGAUAGCUUAAGGUUUGUUCUCAAAACGCAACGUUAUAUUGCAUAAUACUGCUCAAUAUUUUAAAAAUUUAAUCCUUCUAACUACAGAUAAUAUUCAUCUCAACAUAAAAUAAUGAGGAUAAACAAUGUUUUAACAAAAUCAUGUCUGGUUAACAAUCAGUUCCGCAGAUACGUGGCUACAACUGAAAAACCAAAAGACAUUACAUCUAAUGUUAAAGGUUUGAGUUCCAAGGUUAUCAUUUCUAACCCACCAGCAGAACGUGUAAAGAAAGCAGCAAAAAACGGUCCCUACAAGAAUCCACAAUAUUUCAGUUACCACAAAAAUUCAUAUUUUGAUGCUGAGAUUGAAAUGCACAAAUACAGAUUACCACAACCUUCAAGUUUAAAGUAGAAAAUGUAAGAUUUUCUAUAAAAUAAUAAGUUGAUCUAAAAAUUUGAACCGAUCACCAUGGUUUUUUAUAAAAUAUUGUUAAGAUAUGUACCAAUGAUAACUUUCCCAGUAGCUUUUGUUGCUGGUAUUAUUGGUUACAAUG